Molecule: unclassified non-coding RNA, 530 nt
Filed under: Hevea brasiliensis (rubber tree)
Lineage: Eukaryota; Viridiplantae; Streptophyta; Magnoliopsida; Malpighiales; Euphorbiaceae
Source: RNAcentral
UGCCCAUGAAUCUGCCUACCCAAAUCAAUACACCCUUGACUCGAUGCCAAAACAAACAUGGUCGAAAAUGUAAUCCUAUUCAAAUGAACAACUUCAUCUCUCAACAUGAAGUUAUAAGCCUUAACAGCCUUAGUAACCAAACCGUAACCGGCAUACCCCGAAAUUAAAGAGUUCCAUGAGACCCCAUCUCUGCUUGGCAUGCGGUUGAAGAUUUCUUGCAUUUCUGAGAGAUGCCCAGAUUUUGAAUAAACGGAAAGGAUGGUAUUCCACGAAAAAUGAUUUGGAAUGGGCAUUUCAUCGAACAAGCGGCGUGCAUACGUUAGGUUGCCUAGUUUACCAUACGCGUUUAUGAGGUUAUUAUAUAGAAAAGGUUCUGGAUUCGUUACGUUCUUGAUUAUGUGGCAAUGAAGCCUCUUGGCCUGGGUCUGGUUUUGAUUUUCGCAGAAGAAUUUUAGCAAGGAGCAAUAGUAAUUUGAGGGGGUGGACAUUGUAUGUGUUUUGCACUGUUUGCACUACUAAUUUUGGCGGGA